This 822-nucleotide long non-coding RNA is filed under the name Mustela putorius furo (domestic ferret). RNAcentral's name for it is "lncRNA (ENSMPUG00000025360.1)". Lineage: Eukaryota; Metazoa; Chordata; Mammalia; Carnivora; Mustelidae. The record is from RNAcentral.
UGUGAUCUCUGUCUGCCAAAUAAAUAAAUAAAACCUUAAAAAAAAAAAAAAAGGGAAGAAGAAGAAGUUCUCACUGUUAUUUGAGUGUCUGUUCUAUUCAUUCUGUAAAACCCAUAUUAAUGCUUACUUCUUCUGUUCACAGGCCCUUUCCGAACUCCCCAGAAAGUAGCAGCCACUCUCCUCUGGGACCAGCAACCAAUUACAUAGUGUGGCACAUACAAAUUAUUAAGCUUCAGUUACCUAAGGUCAACUGCGGUCUGGAAGCCCGUGAUCCUCCUUCUGAUGAAUCCUCAGAAGGUAAAUAGUAACCCAACACUUCUCCACGGCACCUGCAUCCUUUGCCUCGCGUCAUCUCAGCAGGUAGGGAUUUUAGCUUCUCGCACCAUCUCAAGACGAAGAAGGGUGAGUAGAGCACAGUAAGUUGUUUGCAGCGAGUGAGAGAGAGCAAGCACAUUCACGUAACUUAUCACAGUGUCCUGGGUUUUUCUGAAAUAAGAUGGGUCCACGGUCUUUGUAAUUUUACCAAGUUCUUCAGGUAACUUUACUACCCACCAGUUUAGGAACCACUGUGAUGAGGCAUUCAUCAAGGAAUCACUUGUGCAAGUGUCAUUAGUUCUAGAAAGCAAUGCAGGGCUGCAAGUAAAAUAAAUAGUGGUAAAUAUAAAACUGUAUGUCCAUGAGAAUAUAAAUGUGCAUGUGUAUGAAACACUGUAACACAUUCUUGAUUUGUGCUCUGUAAGACACAAGUUCUGGGAGCAGCUAAUAUACACAGCCAGUGGCUGGACUGUGUGGCUGAUUCAUUUGAGAAAUCCUACAGGCCAG